This 4420-nucleotide long non-coding RNA is filed under the name Homo sapiens (human). Its description in RNAcentral is "HSALNT0332113". The record is from RNAcentral. Lineage: Eukaryota; Metazoa; Chordata; Mammalia; Primates; Hominidae.
GGAUUAAUCCAUUCAUAGAUUAAUGGAUUAAUGAAUUAAAGGGUUGUUUUGGGAGUGGCUGGCUUUAUGACAGGAAGAGAGGCCUGUGCCUGCCCAGUGAGCUCUCUCCCCACAAGAUGCCCUGUGCUGUCAUGAGACUCUGCAGUGUCCCUACCAGCAGGAAGGCUCUCCCCAAAUGCAGCCCCUUGACCCUGGACUUCCCAGCCUCCAGAACUUGAGAAGAGGAACAAAUGGAGGAACAUCCCAGUCAAGUGACAUUCCUAGUGACAUUCACCAGAACAGAGUCAAGCUUUGGAUCCCAUGUUCUGUGACUUCCUCUUCACCACGCUUCCUCCACACACGUAGCAGCUCAAGGGUUUCUGAUGAGUGGGGUCUAUGUUCCCUUUAUGAGCUGUAACGCACACCAUGAAGGUCUGCGGCUUGGCUAUUGAGUCAGUGAGAGCGUGAACCUACUAUUAGAAGAAAAACUCUGAAUACGUCUGAACGUCAGAAAGAACGAAGUUUGGACACAUUGUCUUUAAGAACUGUAACACUCACCCCAAGGGUUUAUGGAUUCAUUCUUGAAAUCAGUGAAACCAAAAGCUUUCCAAAGUUUAACACACAGGGAAAUGACUUACUGCAAAGAACCACUCUUCCCCACGAGACUUCGAGAAGACCCGCUGUCACGGACUGAGUUGUGUCCUCUUAAAAUUCAGAUGUUGGAGUCCAAACCCCCAGUAACUCAGAGUGUGAACGUAUUUGAAGAGGUCUUUAAAGAGGUGAUGAAGGUCUUUGUCUCUGACAAUUUGCCUCUGUGACGUGGAUGGGACUGGAAGUCCAUUUGGAGCCCUGUCUUCUCCACCUAGGGAGAGAGACCCCAUGAGCUCGUCAAGCUCCUUCUGUGACUGAUCAGAGAUCCCACCGUGAGUCCAGCUCCUGGUCCCAUGCUCUGGAUAUAUCGGUCCCUGGCAGCGUGCAACUCCUUAGCCAAAGACGUGGCAACUGCGGGUGAAGUAUCUCUGGGCAGGAAAUCAAUGCAGAAAUGCAACUGGGGAGAGGGGGCUUGGGGGCCAGUUCCAGGGAGAUUGGAACUGCUGUGUUCUCAUCAGCAGAAGUGGCCCCUGCCCACCCCCAUCCUAAUCCCUUCUCAUGUGGGAGAAGGUCUGUGAGCCCUCUCCCUACCAGGCAGGUUCUAUGGCAAUGUGGGCACAUACCCUGGGGCAGGGGCCGAGGGACUUAACUCACUUCAUGAGCGCCAAUGGAGGAGCGAAGGGAAUGCCUGAUGAAAACAACAUUCUACCAGUAUGCACUGUUUUCUAACCUACAGAGUGCCUCUGUGUUCACUGUCCCAUUUGAGAAUUCUAAGUAGAAUUCUGAACAGGCUGGAGCAGAUUGCCCACCCCAAGGGACAGAUGUUGGCUGGUACUGUUGGUAUUCAUGGAAGAUUCCUUCUGACACUCCCUCCUUCUUUGUAAUUGCCAUGAACUGGAGCACUGGGCCAAUAUAAAUCAUCCAAGGGUGAACACGCUGCACAUGGACGGCUCCUCUUUGUUUUUGAAGGGAUUCCAUCUCUAUUUUGCCAUGUGCUCCUUCACCCCACUCCCCACCCCCGUCUUUCAUUUCUUUCUCUGGAAAAGAUACUUCAACUCACAGGACUGCGAUGUUGAAACGGACACCCAAGAGCAUCACAGAUGGGCCAGGCCUGGACCUCUCGGGACAACAUUCCUCACGACUUUUAGAUAGAAGAGAUUAGAGAUUUGGGACUGGUGGCAACUGGUAACGUUUUCAGUGUUUGGUAAACAGCCAGGGUCCGGAGCUCUGGGAACAGCCUGAUUUAGCUCUUUGUUUAAGUUUUGUGUUAGAGGCUCCCAAGAAGCUGAUGCAGGGGAAAGAAAUUAACAACCAUGGCUCAUUCACAGCCAGGCAGCCAAAUGGACAGCUCUAUAAGACUCAAGCCGACAGCGGAGAGAGUGCAACCAAACAGCCUUGGCCCAGCUUUCAGAGGAGAACGUUAUUCACCCCAACUGCUCUGCAUCUGCCUGGAUGUCUGCCAAGAUCUGUGAGCAUUACAGCGUUGCAGUCUUCUUUCCACCAAUGACCCCUCGCGCUGCUUCCAGAAGCCAAGAAAGUGGGCUUUGUCCUUGGGGAUUUAGGAGGCGGAGCGGCGCCCCCUUGAGGCCACAUGGUGGAGGCAGCGAUGAGACCUGGAGUCUAAAAUUCAGACUGAAUCACAGGAAGAAGCUAUUUACACAAGUCAAACAUGGUCCAAUCUUGGCAAUUUCAUAAGGUUCCAAUCCUUAAGGGAUCAAAACCUGGCCAACUGCUUCCACCGAGAGGUGUGCCUUUCAAUGCCAGGCUUGGAGUGUCCCUCUUUAUUUAAAAAGGAGAGGAUUCCACAGCAGAGCUUCUCAAACUCUUCCACCCAAAUCCCCUCACCACAGAGGGACAGGAGUCCUGGGCAUGUAGCCUAAAGCAGCCAGGAGAAAAAAACCUUGACCUUAAUUUUUUUAAUGAUUUCACAUGAAUCAGUGGAAUGUGUUUAUGAUAAAAUCAUCUCCUCCUGAAAUACAUGUGUAAAACUGCUGCCCCAGUUAAACGCACUUAGUCUAACCAAGCCCUAGGAUUGGCCUCUCCAGCAUGAGAAGCAUUUCCAGCACUCCAGCUCCCCAGCUCCCACUCUGGGAUCCCACCUCAGACCCUCCCACUUCCUUGCACUCUGGCCUCUCGCUCUUGACCCUGCUCCCGCCACGCUCUUUCCUCAGAGUCCAUCAGUCCUGUCUUGUCUUCACCUUGGUCUCUGCCAAGUGUGGGUCCAAGUCAUAUAUUUGGGCUGUGAUCACAGGAACCCCAAGCCCCAGACCUCCCAAAGCACCCUAUGGAGAGACCUUACCCUCCUGGACAGACCCUCUCCCCCCAGCUAGACCUCAUCCUCUGGGUAGACCCAUCUCCCCAACCAGAACUCACCCUCCUGAGUAAACCCCAUCCCCCUAGCUAGACUUCAUCCUCCUGGACAGAUCCCAUCCCCCCAGCUAGACCUCACCCUCUUGGGUAGAUGCAUCUCCCCAACCAGAACUCUCCUGGGUAGACCCCUUCUACCCAGCUAGACCUGAUCCUCUGGACAGACCCCAUCAUCCCAGCUAGACUUCUCCCUCCUGGACUGUCCCCAUCCCCCCUCCAGCCAGACCUCACCCCUCUGGGUAGACCCCAUCCCCCCAACUAGACCUCACCCUCCUGGAUGGACUCUACCCUCCUGGAGAUACCUUCCCCUCCUGGGUACAUCCCACGUGGCUACACACUCCUUCCCCUGUCAGCUUUCUCCCCCAGGGUUCUGGGCAGCAGAGUCUGUGAUAAAGGAUACUAAGUGAUUCCCCAAUACUUCCCGUUUCCAGCCUCCAGUGGGCUCUCCCUGGGGCUAACGGUUCUUUUUGCUAUUUCUCCAGGCUUUGCCUGAUGACAAGUAUACUCUGAGAGUGUCCUAAUGAUACAGAUUUUGGACCCUAUCCCAGUUCUACUGAAUCCAAGUCUCUGGGGGAGGAGUUGGGGCUCUGCAUCUGGACACCUUCCUGCAGGGUCCCUCCUGGGAGGCAAGCCCGGGGAGCACCGCUGAGGCUCGCCUCAGUGCCCAUCCUAGACCUUCAGCAGCUAGCAGAGGAUGUCCCCACCAUCCCUCAGCCCACACUCCCACUGUCGCCCCAGCCAGGCUUGGCACUGCCUCCUUUCUCAGAAGAUUAAGACCAUCUGCUGUUUCCCAAGUUUCCCACCCUCCACCCUAAAAAUUUCUCCGUUUCCCAGUCUUUCCUCGUCUCUCAGAAAAUAAACAUCUUCCCAGGCUGCCUCCCCAGUGGGUCUGCACUCCUUGCUGUCUUCCCAGCACCUGCCCUUCCAGCCCGCCCUCUGUGUGUCCAGUGUUUCCCUCACCAAAGGACUCGCUUUGUUUUUCAAAUUGGAGGUUUUGUCUUCUCCCUAAAAACCAAAACAUCUCCCUGAGAAGUAACUCCCUCAAGCUACUGAUACGGAAGGGGGGCGGGGAAGUGCUGGGAAGGGAAGGGUGUGGUCCCUGGCUAGGGCUCCACCCCCGGGCCUGUGCCCACAGACCUAGGUGAGGACAGGCAUUUCUGUUUUCGUGCUUAAAUGUUGGAUUUCCCAAGACUACCCUGGCCUACCACACCCUCAUUCUGUGCCUGUAAAAAAACCUGAGAGCUUAGCAGGCACGCACACAAGCCUCUGGACGUCAAGAGGAACACACCGGUGUAAGAGCAGACUGAUAGUGGCCCACGGCAGGCUGGCAGGCCAUCGACAGGCAGAACCACUCAGUGCAGCUGGAGGACAGCCUGGCCACGGAGCGGUCCGACUUCAGAGGGGAAAACCACCUCCCCACUCCGUCUCCCUUCUGGCUCCCCCAUCUGAGAGCUACUUCCACUCAAUAAAACCUUGCACUCAU